CAGCCGCCGCGGGAAUACAGAGGGUGCGAGCGUUAAUCGGAUUUACUGGGCGUAAAGCGUGCGUAGGCGGCUUUUUAAGUCGGAUGUGAAAUCCCUGAGCUUAACUUAGGAAUUGCAUUCGAUACUGGGAAGCUAGAGUAUGGGAGAUGAUGGUAGAAUUCCAGGUGUAGCGGUGAAAUGCGUAGAGAUCUGGAGGAAUACCGAUGGCGAAGGCAGCCAUCUGGCCUAAUACUGACGCUGAGGUACGAAAUCAUGGGGAGCAAACAGGAUUAGAUACCCCCGUAGUCCCUGUCUCUUAUAC
This 301-nucleotide ribosomal RNA is filed under the name uncultured bacterium. RNAcentral's name for it is "partial 16S ribosomal RNA". It matches the Rfam family "Bacterial small subunit ribosomal RNA", at positions 509 to 807 of the family's 1533-position model. The record is from RNAcentral.